This is a long non-coding RNA of Syzygium oleosum, 502 nucleotides long. RefSeq lists it as uncharacterized. NCBI's taxonomy places the organism in Eukaryota, Viridiplantae, Streptophyta, Magnoliopsida, Myrtales, Myrtaceae. The record is from RefSeq and is a predicted model, not a curated record. The transcript is spliced from 3 exons.
AAAUACUGAGCUAUAGCAGAGCUUGGAGAUAUAGCAAGUCACAUAGCUAAAGCAGAAACCUUCACAUACAAGUUCCCAAGCUCAUCUCCUGUGUUCAAACUCGAUCACCAUGUCGGACAAGUGCAGCAACUGCGACUGCUCUGACUCGAGCCAGUGCACGAAGAAGGGAAGCAGCUACGCUGCUGAUAUCGUGGAGACCGAGAAGAGCUACGUCGAGACUGUUUUCAUGGAUGGUCCGGCCGAUGAGAAUGAUGGCAAGUGCAAGUGCGGCAGCAGCUGCGCCUGCACUAAUUGCACCUGUGGUCUCUGAGCACAGAAACCCGAUGUUAUAUGCAUGUUCCGUGGAAGUUACUAAUUAUGUGGUUGUGAUGUGAUCUUAAUGUCGUCUGUACUGUCCUUUGUGCUUCUUCUGAUGCAUCUGCAUCAUGGCAGAUGCUACACAAAUAAUGUCGUGUAAUACCAUCUGUGUGGCUCGAUUAUAAAUGAACCAAUAUUAGUAUAA